Molecule: ribosomal RNA, 910 nt
Filed under: uncultured bacterium
Lineage: Bacteria
Description: bacterial SSU rRNA
Rfam family: Bacterial small subunit ribosomal RNA
Source: RNAcentral
AGAGUUUGAUCAUGGCUCAGGAUGAACGCUAGCGGCAGGCUUAACACAUGCAAGUCGAGGGGCAGCACGGGUAGCAAUAUCUGGUGGCGACCGGCGCAAGGGUGCGUAACGCGUGAGCAACAUGCCCGUAUCAGGGGAAUAAUCCAGGGAAACUUGGUCUAAUACCCCAUAGUAAAUAUUAAAGGCAUCUUUAAUAUUUUAAAGCUUUGGUGGAUACGGAUUGGCUCGCGUGACAUUAGCUAGAUGGUAAGGUAACGGCUUACCAUGGCUACGAUGUCUAGGGGUUCUGAGAGGAAGAUCCCCCACACUGGAACUGAGACACGGUCCAGACUCCUACGGGAGGCAGCAGUGAGGAAUAUUGGACAAUGGAUGGAAAUCUGAUCCAGCCAUGCCGCGUGCAGGAAGACGGCCCUAUGGGUUGUAAACUGCUUUUAUAUGGGAGCAAUAAGACCUACGUGUAGGUUGAUGAGAGUACCAUAUGAAUAAGCACCGGCUAACUCCGUGCCAGCAGCCGCGGUAAUACGGAGGGUGCAAGCGUUAUCCGGAUUUAUUGGGUUUAAAGGGUGCGUAGGCGGUUUGAUAAGUCAGCGGUGAAAUAUUUCAGCUUAACUGGAAGGGUGCCGUUGAUACUGUCAGGCUUGAAUUUAGUUGCUGUGGGUGGAAUGUGUGGUGUAGCGGUGAAAUGCAUAGAUAUCACACAGAAUAUCGAUUGCGAAGGCAGCUCACAAAGCUAAUAUUGACGCUGAUGCACGAAAGUGUGGGGAUCAAACAGGAUUAGAUACCCUGGUAGUCCACACUGUAAACGAUGAUAACUCGCUGUCGGCGAUACAUAGUCGGUGGCCAAGCGAAAGCGAUAAGUUAUCCACCUGGGGAGUACGACCGCAAGGUUGAAACUCAAAUGAAUUGACGG